Molecule: non-coding RNA, 352 nt
Filed under: Pan troglodytes (chimpanzee)
Lineage: Eukaryota; Metazoa; Chordata; Mammalia; Primates; Hominidae
Source: RNAcentral
CCCCACCAGCGGGCACUGGCCCACAGCCACGGCCGGGGGGCCAUCUAGCUGGAGAGAGAAGGGACAGCAACUCCAUCCGCUCCUGCAGCUGCCGGACGUGUGCCUCUAGGUCCCGGUUCCGAGCCUCUGCCUCGCGUAGUUGACUGUGGGGAGGAACAAAUCAGGAUUCCCACCUGCCCAAGGCCUUUGCCCUUGAGGCUCUCGCCUGACCACCUGGCACCUUUCCUUCCAUGGCUGGUUUCUCCUUCACGAGCGCUCAGCUCAAAGAUCAACUUCUCAGAUCCCCAGCAACACACACACCCUUACUUAAUGCCCCACUGUAACUACAGAGACCAUCCCAUGUCUGAAGUAA